AAGUCGUAACAAGGUCUCCGUUGGUGAACCAGCGGAGGGAUCAUUACUGAGUGUAAAAACUCCCAAACCCAUUGUGAACAUACCUCUGUUGCUUCGGCGGAUGCGCCCCGGGCGCGCCUUCACAGGCGUGCCCCGGAUCAAGGCGCCCGCCGGGGGACCGAAACUCUUGUUUUCUUAGAGAAUCUCUGAGUAUGAUUAUAAAUCAAAUCAAAACUUUCAACAACGGAUCUCUUGGCUCUA
RNAcentral lists this unclassified non-coding RNA (240 nucleotides) under Acremonium polychromum. Its description in RNAcentral is "Gliomastix polychroma partial internal transcribed spacer region". The stretch from base 1 to 46 matches the Rfam family "Eukaryotic small subunit ribosomal RNA", at positions 1786 to 1831 of the family's 1831-position model. Lineage: Eukaryota; Fungi; Ascomycota; Sordariomycetes; Hypocreales; Bionectriaceae. The record is from RNAcentral.